This 301-nucleotide ribosomal RNA is filed under the name uncultured bacterium. RNAcentral's name for it is "partial 16S ribosomal RNA". It matches the Rfam family "Bacterial small subunit ribosomal RNA", at positions 509 to 807 of the family's 1533-position model. The record is from RNAcentral.
CAGCAGCCGCGGUAAUACGAAGGGUGCAAGCGUUAAUCGGAAUUACUGGGCGUAAAGCGUGCGUAGGCGGUUCGUUAAGUCUGUUGUGAAAUCCCCGGGCUCAACCUGGGAAUGGCAAUGGAUACUGGUAAGCUAGAGUGUGUCAGAGGAUGGUGGAAUUCCCGGUGUAGCGGUGAAAUGCGUAGAGAUCGGGAGGAACAUCAGUGGCGAAGGCGGCCAUCUGGGACAACACUGACGCUGAGGCACGAAAGCGUGGGGAGCAAACAGGAUUAGAUACCCCGGUAGUCCCUGUCUCUUAUAC